UGGCACGCGUGGGCUUAUAAGCAGGGCCAAGAUCCCCGGAACGCUUACUGCGAGUAGGAUGUUCCUACUGGAUGUUCCUCGGGCCUGGGCCUCUGACACACAGAGCAGGGCCACCUGCACGGGGGCCCCUCCCGCCGGGACCUCCCGGGUCUCUCCUCACUGCGUCUCAGGCAAGCUGUCCUGCUCACGGGCGAUGUCCGUCCCUCCCCGGGCUCUGGCCCCUUGUCCUUCCUGCCACGAGCCAACUCAACCACAUGGACAAACGGAGGCCUCCCUCACUGGGAGCUGCCUGGGUGGGGCCGGGCAAGGUCUUUGGGUCCAUGGCAACCACAGAAGCCUCGGAGACAGAGUAGGAGUUGAGACUGGCUUGGUGGACAAGAAUUCUUGGAAGUUUUGGAGCAGAGGUGUGGCACGGGGGGCUCACUCCUUCCUCUCCUCCGAGAGGUUCAGCCCCAUCCCAGCCUCCUGCCUUCACUGGCUUAACACCCAGAGACCACCUGGCCAGGAGAUGGAGGAGGAUCAACGUCACUGCCAGUGUGCACGGCUGCAGCGUCCCCCAGCUCCCCCUGCCCUCUGGGUCCUGAGACGGCCCAGAUUGACCAGGCACAGUGGUUAAGAAUCCGCCUGCCAAUGCAGCGGACACGGGUUCGAGCCCUGGUCCGGGAAGAUCCCACAUGCCACGGAGCAACUAAGCCCGUGCGCCACAACGACUGAGCCUGCGCUCUAGAGCCCGCGAGCCACAACUACCGAGCCCGUGUGACACAACUACUGAAGCCCACGUGCCUAGAGCCUGUGCUCUGAAACAAGAGAAGCCACUGCAAUGAGAAGCCUGCGCACCGCAACGAAGAGUAGCCCCCGCUCGCCGCAACUAGAGAAAAGCCCGCGCGCAGCAACAAAGACCCAACGCAGCCAAAAAUAAAUAA
This is a long non-coding RNA of Balaenoptera acutorostrata (minke whale), 923 nucleotides long. RefSeq lists it as uncharacterized. Lineage: Eukaryota; Metazoa; Chordata; Mammalia; Artiodactyla; Balaenopteridae. The transcript is spliced from 3 exons. The record is from RefSeq and is a predicted model, not a curated record.